GACGAACGCUGGCGGCGUGCCUAAUACAUGCGAGUCGAACGAACCGCGACUAAGUGCUUGCACUAAGUCAAGGUGAGUGGCGAACGGGUGAGUAACACGUGGGUAACCUACCUCAUAGUGGGGGAUAACAGUCGGAAACGACUGCUAAUACCGCAUAGGACAUAGGAUCACAUGAUCCAGUGAGGAAAGGUGGCGCAAGCUAUCGCUAAGAGAUGGACCCGCGGUGCAUUAGCUAGUUGGUAGGGUAAAGGCCUACCAAGGCGAUGAUGCAUAGCCGACCUGAGAGGGUGAUCGGCCACAUUGGGACUGAGACACGGCCCAAACUCCUACGGGAGGCAGCAGUAGGGAAUCUUCCGCAAUGGACGCAAGUCUGACGGAGCAACGCCGCGUGAGUGAAGAGGGUCUUCGGAUCGUAAAGCUCUGUUGUUAGAGAAGAACAGCGCAUAGAGUAACUGCUAUGCGUGUGACGGUAUCUAACCAGAAAGCCACGGCUAACUACGUG
RNAcentral lists this ribosomal RNA (502 nucleotides) under uncultured bacterium. Its description in RNAcentral is "partial 16S ribosomal RNA". It matches the Rfam family "Bacterial small subunit ribosomal RNA", at positions 28 to 507 of the family's 1533-position model. The record is from RNAcentral.